This 413-nucleotide long non-coding RNA is filed under the name Panax ginseng (ginseng). RNAcentral describes it as "long non-coding RNA (PGIN_LNC011006)". Lineage: Eukaryota; Viridiplantae; Streptophyta; Magnoliopsida; Apiales; Araliaceae. The record is from RNAcentral.
UUGGAUGACCUUUGAAUAUCUUAUCAGAUUGGGCCUGACUGUUGGGUUUCUAUUUUAUUGGCCCAUCCUGUUCAAAUUCAAGUCCUUUAUCAGAUUGGGCUUAUUGCUCUGGGUAUCCAUUAUUCAGCCCUCCCUUAUUCCACUUCGUAUGUUAAAAGUGGGUAUGAUUCACUUAUUUCCUAUCCUUGGGCCUUUAUUGAAUUCUAAAUAUCAUGAAUCAUAUAUAGUUUUCCAUUAAACAUCCUGUUUAACUAAAAAACUAGGGGGUAAUGUUGGGUCAUGAUAUUUCUCCUAUUUUGGGCCGGGUAUAUUGGGCCCAUUUAUCAGUUUAAUAUGUUGGGCUUUUAUAAUUAAGCCAUGGGGCUCUUUGAGCCCAUUUAUUGUGUCAACUUUAUUUAAUCCUAUUGGACCGG